CAACCUCAACUCAUAUGGGACUACCCCCUGAAUUUAAGCAUAUUAAUUAGGGGAGGAAAAGAAACUAACAAGGAUUUUCUUAGUAGCGGCGAGCGAAAAGAAAUCAGUUCAGCACUAAGUCACUUUGUCUAUAUGGCAAAUGUGAGAUGCAGUGUACGGAACAUCAACAUUC
RNAcentral lists this non-coding RNA (172 nucleotides) under Drosophila virilis. RNAcentral describes it as "Eukaryotic large subunit ribosomal RNA". It matches the Rfam family "Eukaryotic large subunit ribosomal RNA", at positions 1 to 168 of the family's 3401-position model. The record is from Rfam by way of RNAcentral. Lineage: Eukaryota; Metazoa; Arthropoda; Insecta; Diptera; Drosophilidae.